ACUCAUUUCAUGGAAGAAUAAUGCACUAGUUUGAAGAUAUUUGCAAAGGAUGAAAGUAGCUGAAGAAUGAAGAAAAAUAGCUAAUAUUCUGUUUUUUUCGCCCCAGACGAAAAAUCCUGUGCCUGAGGCGAAAAGUUCCAGUUGAAAAGUACCUCUCUGUUUGCUAUUUCGCCUGAGGCGAAAAAUCCUGUGCCUCAGGCGAAACUUCUGUGCCUGGGGCGAAAAUGCUUGUGCCUGAGGCGAAAUUCUCAUUUAUUGACUCCGGUUAUAAAAGGAAAACGCAGAUCUGAGAUAGUGGAUCUAAAAAUAGCAUUGGAAACAUCGAUUUUGAGAACUUUUGAAGAUCAAGGAGCUUGGAGACAAGGAUUUGAAGGUGGAAACACAUCAAGAUCAUCUUGUAAUCAUGCUUUCUUUCAUUUCUUUGAUUGUAAUGUCUUUUAUCACUAUGUGUAACUAAAUUCUCAUGAUUGAUCCUUAGGGGAUUCUUAAUAUUAUUUCUCUUGAACUAUGUGAUUAUCAUAUGUUAUAAUUAAUGAAUUACGAAG
Molecule: long non-coding RNA, 545 nt
Filed under: Trifolium pratense (red clover)
Lineage: Eukaryota; Viridiplantae; Streptophyta; Magnoliopsida; Fabales; Fabaceae
Description: long non-coding RNA (TPRA_LNC008105)
Source: RNAcentral